Molecule: ribosomal RNA, 492 nt
Filed under: uncultured bacterium
Lineage: Bacteria
Description: partial 16S ribosomal RNA
Rfam family: Bacterial small subunit ribosomal RNA
Source: RNAcentral
AGUGAACGCUGGCGGUAGGCCUAGCACAUGCAAGUCGAACGGCAGCACAGUAAGAGCUUGCUCUUACGGGUGGCGAGUGGCGGACGGGUGAGGAAUACAUCGGAAUCUACUUUUUCGUGGGGGAUAACGUAGGGAAACUUACGCUAAUACCGCAUACGACCUACGGGUGAAAGCAGGGGAUCUUCGGACCUUGCGCGAUUGAAUGAGCCGAUGUCGGAUUAGCUAGUUGGCGGGGUAAAGGCCCACCAAGGCGACGAUCCGUAGCUGGUCUGAGAGGAUGAUCAGCCACACUGGAACUGAGACACGGUCCAGACUCCUAAGGGAGGCAGCAGUGGGGAAUUUUGGACAAUGGGCGCAAGCCUGAUCCAGCCAUACCGCGUGUGUGAAGAAGGCCUUCGAGUUGUAAAGCCCUUUUGUUGGGAAAGAAAAGCAGCAGGUUAAUACCACGCUGUUCUGACGGUACCCAAAGAAUAAGCACCGGCUAACUUCGUG